GACGAACGCUGGCGGCGUGCCUAAUACAUGCAAGUUGAGCGAUGAAGCUUGGUGCUUGCACCAAUUUGAAGAGCAGCGAACGGGUGAGUAACGCGUGGGGAAUCUGCCUUUGAGCGGGGGACAACAUUUGGAAACGAAUGCUAAUACCGCAUAACAACUUUAAACAUAAGUUUUAAGUUUGAAAGAUGCAAUUGCAUCACUCAAAGAUGAUCCCGCGUUGUAUUAGCUAGUUGGUGAGGUAAAGGCUCACCAAGGCGAUGAUACAUAGCCGACCUGAGAGGGUGAUCGGCCACAUUGGGACUGAGACACGGCCCAAACUCCUACGGGAGGCAGCAGGAGGGAAUCUUCGGCAAUGGACGAAAGUCUGACCGAGCAACGCCGCGUGAGUGAAGAAGGUUUUCGGAUCGUAAAACUCUGUUGGUAGAGAAGAACGUUGGUGAGAGUGGAAAGCUCAUCAAGUGACGGUAACUACCCAGAAAGGGACGGCUAACUACGUG
RNAcentral lists this ribosomal RNA (497 nucleotides) under uncultured bacterium. Its description in RNAcentral is "partial 16S ribosomal RNA". It matches the Rfam family "Bacterial small subunit ribosomal RNA", at positions 28 to 507 of the family's 1533-position model. The record is from RNAcentral.